GUUUGUAAAAGUCAAGUUCAUCAAUGUAUUUUAAGCAUUCACCUGAAACAGAUUGAAAAUAAUCUAUGUAACCUAGAAGCUUAGAAUAUAUUUUUGAAAAUGGUUGACACAAACGUACUAAUGAUUUUAAGAGUUAUUUCCCUUAACCUAGGUCUAUCUCCUUAAGCAGAUAAUGUCAUUUUUGUAUAUGUCUCUCUUGUUUUUUUUUGUAUUGGUGCAAUAAUCAAUUUUCAAAAGUUGUUUUUGGAAUCAGUAAAAUGCCAUAAUAAUUGUUUCUGUUGCUUUCUCCUGAAAAGGACAUUUCUUAUUUCUUCAUUUUAUGUUGAUAAGCAUUGUAUGUCUUAACUUGGUUUCAGUUGAAAGAAUUCACAUUUACACAUAUCAUUUGAACCAUAAGUGUAUCUAGUUCAUUAUGCUUGAAAGUCAGCAUUAUAUUUUACCACACCAUUUUUAUUUACCAGAUAUAUGGAAAUACUUUUAACAAUGAAAGAUUUGUAAACAAUAAAUACAGAACAUAUCAAUUUGUCUUUUUUGAAAGUUUUUUACAAUUUCUUUUUAUUUAGCUUAGGAUGUACUGCAUUAUCUAAUACAAUUAUUAAAAUAUCUAUGAAUAAUUAUAUUUUAGUUAGUUACUAUUUCACCAAAGAAACAAGUACAGGUAGUUUUACUUGGUCAAAAAUGCUUUAUACUAUCUGUUUGUGAGAUAAUUAGUAUAGAAACAGCACAAAUAAUACCAAAUAUUGUUUUUCAUUUGUAGAAAAGAUUGGUAUGUCUCAUAGAUGUAUAACAAAAACGUAUUCAUUUUGAAUAUUGUUUUUAAUUUGUAGAAAAGAUUUAUAUGUCUCAAAGAUUUAUACCAGAAAAAAGUAUUUUACCUGCAAAGUGAAAACAUUUAAGGACUGUUUGUUUUCUUUUCACACUGAUUGGUUUCUAAUUUUUUAUAUUAUUUUUACUUUUAUUUAUGUUCAAUGCAUCAGAAUGGAUAAACCAUUCUAUAUUAGCUUCUAUGUAUGGCUUUACAACUUUCAUAAUGGAUUGACCUGUAAUAAUUGAUGUUUCACUGCAGAUUAAAAUAAAUGGGUCAUUUUGUUUUGCUACAAUCAGAAUUUGAUUGUAAUUUGAUUUCAUAGUGUUCUGUGGAUUCAUAAGCACUGUUGGAUACCAAUUGUCAUUUAUUUUGUGGGAGUAGGUGAACCAGAAAUUUAAAUGUUCUAAGAAGAAGGAAUUUUAUUUUGGCUUACAAGCAGCAUUUAGAAAAACCAUGAAAUCAAAUAUCCAUGAAGUGGGUCUCAUUGGGGUCUAAGCGGGACACGUGAAAGUCAAAUUAUUGUGUCGUGAAAACGGGAAAUGAGGUCUAGGGACCCGGAAAUGACAAAAAAUGAGAAUUGCUUACGUACAUAGUGUAAGCGGGAUACAGGAAUCUGACAAAACAGUAAGCGGGAUCCGGGAUCGGAAACCCCCGAUGAGACCCCCAAUAAACAUACGAUUUUCCCCCAAUCCACAAAAAUUGAUAACCAUGAAAAAUAAGUGAGUAUAUGAGAUGGUAUGCACAGCAAACAUGAUAAAAGCAUCAUGAAUGAAUGGAAGUUGUGUUAUUGUCUUUUAAUUGGUCAUUCCAUUAGUCUUGUUUCAAAAUGCAAUAUGAUGUUUGAAUUAAUGUCUCUUUGUAUUAAGUUAUGUACUUUAAUGACAUGUUAAUUGAUGUACUUCCACAAUAUUAUUUGUUAAUUUAUGAUAAUUUUACCAUAAAAUAUAGUUGUGAUAUGUUAGAAAGGCUAAUAAGAAA
This 1786-nucleotide long non-coding RNA is filed under the name Mytilus galloprovincialis (Mediterranean mussel). The record is from RNAcentral. Lineage: Eukaryota; Metazoa; Mollusca; Bivalvia; Mytilida; Mytilidae.